CUGUACUGGAUAUCUUUUAUCCCAUUUUAUAUUUCAUAAAUCAAUAAAACUCUGCAAAUUAUUUUCUCUUUUUGAGUUUCUUUCGUGGUAUCAUCCAUCUUUUAUUCUUCAGAUUCAUCUCGAUCCACUUCCGCUCUUCUAUGAAACUCAUUGGGAGUGUUUAUUACUUUUCAGAUCUUGUAUAUCAAUGAUGAUCGAACAUGUCUUAGAACCUGUUUCAGAUCAAUCACAACAAUGAAAUCAGUCUCAACACUCAAAUCAAUCACAACAAUCAAAUCAAUCACAACAGUUUUUCCCUACAUCUUUUACAUCUUCUUUUCCAAACCUCUCACAUUUUGUCUCAGUAAAACUUGAAGCUGAUGGAUUAAAUUACCUAAUCUGGAAAAAUCAAUUCGAAUCUAUCCUUAUGUCUUAUGAUCUAUUUGAGUAUGUUGAUGGAACAAUUAAAGAACUUAUUCAGUUUCCUCAGAUUGCUGGUGAGAAAACGUUGAAUCAUGAGUAUUAUACUUGGAGAAAUAAGAAUUGUUUUGAUAUGUCUUAUUUGAAUGCAACCUUGCCAGAUCAUGUCUCUCGAAGUAUUAUUGGUUUUUCAACAGCUCGAGAAUUUGGUUAUAUAUUCAGAAAUCGAUACUUCGACAGUUCCCAGCUUGUAAAUCUUUACUUCAUAGUCAGCUCCACUCGAUUAAAAGAGGUGGAGAUAUACACCUACUUCUAAGGACAAUUCAAAGGCUGCUUCUAAGGGUGGUUCUUCAAAUGCAUCUACUUCUGGAUCUACUUCAACAUCUUCUGACGAUUCUCUUCAACAAGAUUUUCAUAGUAUUAAACUCAACUCACCAAAUGUAUGUCUUGAUCCAAAUGUUGCUUCUACAUGGACCACUGAUUCUGGAGCUGCAAGUCACAUGACUAAUGAUCCUUCUUGUCUCACCAAUUCCAAAUCCUACAAAGGUAAUUCACAAGCUAUGGUGGGUGAUGGUAAUUUUCUUAAUAUUGUACAAACUGGUGAUACUAUUUUGGAUAUUAAUUCUGUGAAAUUUCACCUUCAUGAUGUUUUGUAUGUUCCAAGUUUAAAAGAAAAUCUUAUUUAUAUUGCUCGAUUUACUAAGGAGAACUCUGUCUCUUUUGAAUUUUUUUCCUUGGGGAUAUCAUAUUAAGGACUUGGACACUAAAGAGGUGUUGGAUGAAGGUUUGGUGAAAGACAAUUUAUAUACUCUUACAUCUCUACAAGCUUCUCAGGUUGCUGCUCAUUCAGCUUCUUUACAUUCUUCUGAUCCUAGGCACAGAAAGUUAGGACAUACUUCAUCAACUAUUAUACAUAAGGUGGCUUCUCCAGCUGGUAUUUCUAUCAACACUUCAUCCUCUAGUCAGUUGUGCACUUCUUGUCAGUUAGGAAAACAUCAAAGGAUUCCUUUUUAUCAUUCAACUAGAGUCACAACUGAACCUUUGUACUUGAUCUACUGUGAUAUAUGGGGACCUGCUCCUGUUCCAUCUAGUUUAGAAUUCAAGUAUUAUAUUUUGUUUGUAGAUGAUUUUUCUAGAUUUCAUUGGAUUUAUCCUUUGAAGACAAGAGAUGAAAGUGUUGAGUAUUUUAAACAUUUUAAAAAUAUGUCUGAAAAUUUAUUGUCUACAUCAAUAAAAUUGUUUCAAUGUGAUGGAGCUCUUGAACUAGUUAAAGAAAAAUUUAAAAUUUUAUAGAUGAUUGUGAAAUCUCUUACAAAA
This is a long non-coding RNA of Papaver somniferum (opium poppy), 1716 nucleotides long. RefSeq lists it as uncharacterized. The record is from RefSeq and is a predicted model, not a curated record. The transcript is spliced from 2 exons. NCBI's taxonomy places the organism in Eukaryota, Viridiplantae, Streptophyta, Magnoliopsida, Ranunculales, Papaveraceae.